GACGAACGCUGGCGGCGUGCUUAACACAUGCAAGUCGAACGCUGAAGCUCAGCUUUUGUUGGGUGGAUGAGUGGCGAACGGGUGAGUAACACGUGAGUAACCUGCCCCCUUCUUUGGGAUAACGCCCGGAAACGGGUGCUAAUACUGGAUAUUCACUGGUCUUCGCAUGGGGGUUGGUGGAAAGGGUUUUUCUGGUGGGGGAUGGGCUCGCGGCCUAUCAGCUUGUUGGUGGGGUGAUGGCCUACCAAGGCUUUGACGGGUAGCCGGUCUGAGAGGGUGACCGGUCACAUUGGGACUGAGAUACGGCCCAGACUCCUACGGGAGGCAGCAGUGGGGAAUAAUGCACAAUGGGCGCAAGCCUGAUGCAGCGACGCCGCGUGAGGGAUGGAGGCCUUCGGGUUGUGAACCUCUUUCGCUCAUGGUCAAGCCGCAACAAUGGUUGUGGUGAGGGUAGUGGGUAAAGAAGCGCCGGCUAACUACGUG
Molecule: ribosomal RNA, 483 nt
Filed under: uncultured bacterium
Lineage: Bacteria
Description: partial 16S ribosomal RNA
Rfam family: Bacterial small subunit ribosomal RNA
Source: RNAcentral